Molecule: ribosomal RNA, 253 nt
Filed under: uncultured bacterium
Lineage: Bacteria
Description: partial 16S ribosomal RNA
Rfam family: Bacterial small subunit ribosomal RNA
Source: RNAcentral
UACGUAGGGGGCAAGCGUUGUCCGGAUUUAUUGGGCGUAAAGAGCGUGUAGGCGGCCAGAUAAGUCCGCUGUGAAAUCUCGAGGCUCAACUUCGAGCUGUCGGUGGAAACUGUCUGGCUAGAGUCCGGAAGAGGAGAAUGGAAUUCCUGGUGUAGCGGUGAAAUGCGCAGAUAUCAGGAAGAACACCCGUGGCGAAGGCGGUUCUCUGGGACGGUACUGACGCUGAGACGCGAAAGCGUGGGGAGCGAACAGG